Molecule: ribosomal RNA, 498 nt
Filed under: uncultured bacterium
Lineage: Bacteria
Description: partial 16S ribosomal RNA
Rfam family: Bacterial small subunit ribosomal RNA
Source: RNAcentral
GACGAACGCUGGCGGCGUGCCUAAUACAUGCAAGUCGAACGAGAGCGACCGGUGCUUGCACUGGUCAAUCUAGUGGCGAACGGGUGAGUAACACGUGGGUAACCUGCCCAUCAGAGGGGGAUAACAUCCGGAAACGGAUGCUAAAACCGCAUAGGUCUUCGAACCGCAUAGUUUGAAGAGGAAAAGAGGCGCAAGCUUCUGCUGAUGGAUGGACCCGCGGUGCAUUAGCUAGUUGGUGAGGUAACGGCUCACCAAGGCCGUGAUGCAUAGCCGACCUGAGAGGGUGAUCGGCCACAUUGGGACUGAGACACGGCCCAAACUCCUACGGGAGGCAGCAGUAGGGAAUCUUCCGCAAUGGACGCAAGUCUGACGGAGCAACGCCGCGUGAGUGAAGAAGGUUUUCGGAUCGUAAAACUCUGUUGUUAGAGAAGAACAAGUGCUAGAGUAACUGUUAGCGCCUUGACGGUAUCUAACCAGAAAGCCACGGCUAACUACGUG